Molecule: transfer RNA, 124 nt
Filed under: Coniochaeta pulveracea
Lineage: Eukaryota; Fungi; Ascomycota; Sordariomycetes; Coniochaetales; Coniochaetaceae
Rfam family: tRNA
About the family: Transfer RNA (tRNA) molecules are approximately 80 nucleotides in length. Their secondary structure includes four short double-helical elements and three loops (D, anti-codon, and T loops).
Source: Rfam by way of RNAcentral
GCCCGCUUAGCUCAGUGGUAAGAGCGUGUCUGGAGUACCGACCCCCUAAGAAUACCGUAUCCCAGUAUCCCUAGACCAGUAUCUCUACAUGGCAAGAUCAUCAGUUCGAAUCUGAUAGUGGGUA